Molecule: long non-coding RNA, 1001 nt
Organism: Vespa velutina
Lineage: Eukaryota; Metazoa; Arthropoda; Insecta; Hymenoptera; Vespidae
Exons: 3
Source: RefSeq, a predicted model, not a curated record
AUGACAACACGCUCGAUCGUAAGGGAAGACUAUCAUGGCGACGGUGCGAGAUAACCUCGAGCUCUUUCGAACGUUCUUUUAUCCAUUUACUAUACUUUCUAAGAUUUAACUGGUGAUUUACGGAGUAUGUCUAUUGGUGUCGAAACGAUCGGAGAACGAGUAAUACCUACUUAACUCGAAUCGUGCUUUACAGAUAGGAGAAGUUUCAUUCAAGAUGGAGAACAAACGUGAAAAGAAAAUGGAACGAUCUGCGUGCAAGUCCUUAUAUAUAUAUAUAUAUAACGAAUAACAGGAAGAUUGGUAUGAUCUAAUCAUGGAAUCUACUUCGAGCCCUGAACAAAGCAAACUGAACAACCUUAGUUCGUAAGAUGAUCUUAGAGGGAAGAGAAAGACGAGAAUCCAAUCAAAACCGAAUAGAAGAGGCCAUCGAAUAUCCGACGACUACGUUUGCCUUCUGCGAAGCAAUUAUCCCUUUUGCUAAGAAUGGUCUUAGGAACGUAAUUAAUCUCCUUGGCAAUCAACGUUAACAACACUAUGAACAUUACUCGUUCCAAAAAAUUUCCGAGGAAUACGAAACGAUACGUGUCGGUCUUCUUCCAACAAGAGACUGCUCUCGCUUCGGUAGUUUACUUUAGGUAUAAACACAACGGUUCGGCGGGUAAACGACGAGGUGACGUAGAAAAAAAAAGAGAGAGAGAGAGAGAGAGAAAAGGGUUUAUCUAUUUUUUGCGUGUAUGAGCUAUUCGAAGAAAAGAAAAAAACGAACGAACGAACGAACGAACGAAUGGUUGACCUUUCGGCAUAACUCUAGUUUUUAUGCAAAGCCCUUCGGACAAAUGGAAAGCAGAUUUUUCGGAUAUUCCAUACCUACGUAGAAAAAUAUCUACAUUGGGAAAGAGGACUGGCAAAAAAAUUCUAUGUCGAUUUGAAACGACUAGGAGAGUUGUGGGAGACGAAUUUCUUGUUUUUUUUCUUUUUUCUUCUUUCCUCUUUCCUUUUCU